This 102-nucleotide microRNA precursor is filed under the name Helianthus annuus (common sunflower). RNAcentral's name for it is "microRNA miR-430". Lineage: Eukaryota; Viridiplantae; Streptophyta; Magnoliopsida; Asterales; Asteraceae. The record is from RNAcentral.
UUCACAGAAUUCGCCAAAAUCGCCCAAACCACUCUCACUUACGUUACAAUUCCAAUAACUGCUCUGUAACGUAAGUGAGAGUGGUUUGGGCGAUUUUGGUGA